AGUGAACGCUGGCGGUAGGCCUAACACAUGCAAGUCGAACGGCAGCACAGUAAGAGCUUGCUCUUACGGGUGGCGAGUGGCGGACGGGUGAGGAAUACAUCGGAAUCUACUUUUUCGUGGGGGAUAACGUAGGGAAACUUACGCUAAUACCGCAUACGACCUACGGGUGAAAGCAGGGGAUCUUCGGACCUUGCGCGAUUGAAUGAGCCGAUGUUGGAUUAGCUAGUUGGCGGGGUAAAGGCCCACCAAGGCGACGAUCCGUAGCUGGUCUGAGAGGAUGAUCGGCCACACUGGAACUGAGACACGGUCCAGACUCCUACGGGAGGCAGCAGUGGGGAAUAUUGGACAAUGGGCGCAAGCCUGAUCCAGCCAUACCGCGUGGGUGAAGAAGGCCUUCGGGUUGUAAAGCCCUUUUGUUGGGAAAGAAAAGCAGCAGGUUAAUACCCCGCUGUUCUGACGGUACCCAAAGAAUAAGCACCGGCUAACUUCGCG
This 492-nucleotide ribosomal RNA is filed under the name uncultured bacterium. Its description in RNAcentral is "partial 16S ribosomal RNA". It matches the Rfam family "Bacterial small subunit ribosomal RNA", at positions 29 to 507 of the family's 1533-position model. The record is from RNAcentral.